GGUCUCCGUUGGUGAACCAGCGGAGGGAUCAUUACCGAGUUUCAACUCCCAAACCCCUGUGAACAUACCUAUACGUUGCCUCGGCGGAUCAGCCCGCGCCCCGUAAAACGGGACGGCCCGCCCGAGGACCCCUAAACUCUGUUUUUAGUGGAACUUCUGAGUAAAACAAACAAAUAAAUCAAAACUUUCAACAACGGAUCUCUUGGUUCUGGCAUCGAUGAAGAACGCAGCAAAAUGCGAUAAGUAAUGUGAAUUGCAGAAUUCAGUGAAUCAUCGAAUCUUUGAACGCACAUUGCGCCCGCCAGUAUUCUGGCGGGCAUGCCUGUUCGAGCGUCAUUUCAACCCUCAAGCUCAGCUUGGUGUUGGGACUCGCGGUAACCCGCGUUCCCCAAAUCGAUUGGCGGUCACGUCGAGCUUCCAUAGCGUAGUAAUCAUACACCUCGUUACUGGUAAUCGUCGCGGCCACGCCGUUAAACCCCAACUUCUGAAUGUUGACCUCGGAUCAGGUAGGAAUACCCGCUGAACUUAAGCAU
RNAcentral lists this ribosomal RNA (533 nucleotides) under fungal sp. 51650. Its description in RNAcentral is "eukaryotic LSU rRNA". The stretch from base 183 to 336 matches the Rfam family "5.8S ribosomal RNA". RNAcentral also lists the same sequence under 2 other names. The record is from RNAcentral. Lineage: Eukaryota; Fungi.